Molecule: ribosomal RNA, 259 nt
Filed under: uncultured bacterium
Lineage: Bacteria
Description: partial 16S ribosomal RNA
Rfam family: Bacterial small subunit ribosomal RNA
Source: RNAcentral
GACGCGUUAUCCGGAAUUAUUGGGCGUAAAGGGCACGUAGGCGGACAAAUAAGUUUGAUGUCAAAUAUGAUGGCUCAACCAUCAAGAGGCGUUGAAAACUGUUUAUCUAGAAUCUCGGAGAGGUAAGUGGAAUUCCAUGUGUAGCGGUGGAAUGCGUAGAUAUAUGGAGGAACACCAAUGGCGAAGGCAGCUUACUGGACGAAGAUUGACGCUGAGGUGCGAAAGCGUGGGUAGCAAACAGGAUUAGAUACCCUGGUAG